CAGUCGCCACGGUAAUACGUAGGGGGCAAGCGUUGUCCGGAAUUAUUGGGCGUAAAGCGCGCGCAGGCGGCUUUUUAAGUCUGGUGCCUAAGUGCGGGGCUCAACCCCGUGACGCACUGGAAACUGGGAGACUUGAGUGCAGAAGAGGAGAGCGGAAUUCCACGUGUAGCGGUGAAAUGCGUAGAGAUGUGGAGGAACACCAGUGGCGAAGGCGGCUCUCUGGACUGUAACUGACGCUGAGGAGCGAAAGCGUGGGGAGCGAACAGGAUUAGAUACCCCCGUAGUCCCUGUCUCUUAUACA
RNAcentral lists this ribosomal RNA (301 nucleotides) under uncultured bacterium. RNAcentral's name for it is "partial 16S ribosomal RNA". It matches the Rfam family "Bacterial small subunit ribosomal RNA", at positions 509 to 808 of the family's 1533-position model. The record is from RNAcentral.